CCCAUUGAUGAAUAAGAACUAGUCUCCUACAUCCUUGCGGGACUAGAUGAAGAAUACAACUGUGUGGUCUCUGCCCUUGUUGCACAGAAGGAUUCUGUCUCAGUUGGGGAGGCAUACUCGCAACUCCUCAAUUUUGAGA
Molecule: non-coding RNA, 139 nt
Organism: Zea mays
Lineage: Eukaryota; Viridiplantae; Streptophyta; Magnoliopsida; Poales; Poaceae
Source: Rfam